ACUCCACCUGGCACAGCACCCUCCUCACUGGAAUACCUUCAGAAAUUGUCUUAGAGCUUACAUUUCACCCCUAAGGCAACAUUCUGAGGUCAGCAUGUCUUUGGAGGGCAAUCACUUGGCAGAGCCUCUGACUUCUCAUGGACUUUUCCAACUUCAGUGCUGAAUGUGGCCCCAAAGGAAGAUGAGUCCAGAGAGGCUUACAGCACCACACUAAUGGAAAUAUCUUCUCUGGAAUUCUCAGCUGGUCAAAUACAUUCCAAAUCCACUCCUAUGUCAUAACAUGGAGGAGAUGGAGGGAAAUAUUGGAAAGCACAAGCUUCUCAUCUUGACUUCACUCCUACACCUAAGAGUCACCACAUCUAAUUGCUUUUGGAAGCUUCAGGUUUCAGGAACAUAUAUUAUUUGAGUCCUUGAAGAAACGAAUUCAUUCACCACACCCUUUUCUGCUGGGAGCUGUCUGGCCACAUGUUUUCUUAGGAUUUGCAUCAAAAUUAAAUAUCCAACAGUAACCACCUGCAGCCUGCACAUAUGU
This is a long non-coding RNA of Vidua chalybeata, 532 nucleotides long. RefSeq lists it as uncharacterized. Lineage: Eukaryota; Metazoa; Chordata; Aves; Passeriformes; Viduidae. The transcript has 3 exons. The record is from RefSeq and is a predicted model, not a curated record.